This 490-nucleotide ribosomal RNA is filed under the name uncultured bacterium. RNAcentral's name for it is "partial 16S ribosomal RNA". It matches the Rfam family "Bacterial small subunit ribosomal RNA", at positions 28 to 507 of the family's 1533-position model. The record is from RNAcentral.
GAUGAACGCUAGCUACAGGCUUAACACAUGCAAGUCGAGGGGAAACGGCAUCGAAAGCUUGCUUUUGAUGGGCGUCGACCGGCGCACGGGUGAGUAACGCGUAUCCAACCUGCCCAUCACUUGUGAAUAACCUUGCGAAAGUAAGACUAAUGCCCAAUGACAUCCCACGAAGGCAUCCGAAUGGGAUUAAAGAUUUAUCGGUGAUGGAUGGGGAUGCGUCUGAUUAGCUUGUUGGCGGGGUGACGGCCCACCAAGGCAACGAUCAGUAGGGGUUCUGAGAGGAAGGUCCCCCACGUUGGAACGGAGACACGGGCCAAAGUCCUACGGGAGGCAGCAGUGAGGAAUAGUGGUGAAUGGGCGAGAGCCAUAACCAGACAAGUAGCGUGCAGGAUGACGGCCCUAUGGGUUGUAAACUGCUUUUAUAAGGGAAUAAAGUGGGUCACGUGUGACUUUGUGCAUGUACCUUAAAUAAGGACCGGCUAAUUCCGUG